RNAcentral lists this unclassified non-coding RNA (404 nucleotides) under Pocillopora damicornis (cauliflower coral). RNAcentral describes it as "melanocyte-stimulating hormone receptor-like, transcript variant X1". The record is from RNAcentral. Lineage: Eukaryota; Metazoa; Cnidaria; Anthozoa; Scleractinia; Pocilloporidae.
AGGUAGAAAAGGAUAAUAUUUGAACGUUUUGCACCUGUCAAAAUGCGCGCAUUAUUUACUUCUGUAGCUCUUUCUGACGAGUGGCAGUCGUGACACUAGACAGCUUAAGCAAACCACUGAAACACAUAAUUAUAAUAUCAUUUAUUCACAAACCACUGAACCACAUAUACUUAUAAUAUCAUUUAUUCUCUCUUUUGCAACUGACAGAGUUGAAAUAAUUCAAGGCCGAAGCACCGUUUCAUGUUUCCUGUGCGAGUCAGUUUUCAGUGCACCAAGAGUUGAAAUAAUUCAAGGCCGAAGCACCGUUUCAUGUUUCCUGUGCGAGUCAGUUUUCAGUGCACCAAGUUAGAGACGCCAACGAGUGAUUGACUUUUCAAGUUAUUUCUCGACGAGGACAAGAUAAU